Molecule: non-coding RNA, 363 nt
Organism: Leptonychotes weddellii (Weddell seal)
Lineage: Eukaryota; Metazoa; Chordata; Mammalia; Carnivora; Phocidae
Source: RefSeq, a predicted model, not a curated record
CCGGUCGGGUCGGCCCGGUCUUCUCCGGCAACCACGUGUGUUUACGCUGGACUUUUCCUCGGAGCUGAAGCGGUUGUUGGUGUUUCCCUCAUCUGGGCUGCCGAGGUCCUGCAGGGCCGUGAGGACGUCACCAUGCCUAAAGCCCUAAAGGGAAAACUUGUAGGACGGGAAAAAAAAGUCAUCCAUCCAUAUAGUAGAAAAGCAGCUCAAAUUACAAGAGAGGCCCACAAACAAGAAAAAAAGGAAAAAAUUUUCCAUCAGAACACCUGGGGCAGUGUCAAAAUUUUGCAUUUCUAACAAGUUUCAGGUAACGUUGAUGCUAUUGCUGCUUGUUCAGGGACCACACUAUGAGAACCACUGACC